GCUUACCAAAGAAUAUCAAACUCCGAAUGCCAUCAAGAUGAUUCAUGGGAGUCAGACCAUACGAGAUAAGUUGGAUGGUCAAAAGGGAAAGAGCCCAGACCUACAGCUAAGGUCCCAAAGUACGUGUUAAGUGGAAAAGGAUGUGGGGAUUCUAAGACAACUAGGACGUUGGCUUAGAAGCAGCCAUUCAUUGAAAGAGUGCGUAAUAGCUCACUAGUCGAGAGUCCCUGCGCCGAAAAUGUCCGGGGCUGAAACACGACACCGAAGCUUAGGAAUGUGUAAACAUUGGUAGAGGAGCAUUGCUGGCGGGAUGAAGCCAUACCGUAAGGAGUGGUGGACUGCUAGGAAGAGAGAAUGCCGGAAUGAGUAGCGAGAUGAAGGUGAGAAUCCUUCAGGCCGAAUAUCUAAGGUUUCCAGAGUAAAGCUGAUCUGCUCUGGGUAAGUCGGGGCCUAAGGCGAGGACGAGAGUCGUAGCCGAUGGACAACAGGUGGAGAUUCCUGUACUGCGGUAUGACAGAACUGUGGGGACACGUAAGGAAAGCGGAAGCCGGGAAUGGAAAGCCCGGUGCAAGCGGGGUACCAGCCACUUUGGCAAAUCCGGGUGGCAAUGGGAAGCCGUGAUGCGGAGCGAAAUAAAGUAGCGAAGUCCGUGAGCCAUGCGUCAAGAAAAGCCGCUAUUGUUUAUACCGUACCCGUACCGUAAACCGACACAGGUGGAUGAGGAGAGAAUCCUAAGGCCGACGGGAGAAGCAUUGUUAAGGAACUCGGCAAAAUGACCCCGUAACUUCGGGAGAAGGGGUGCCUGCGAGAGCAGGCCGCAGAGAAUAGGCUCAAGCAACUGUUUAGCAAAAACACAGGUCUAUGCGAAACCGAAAGGUGAGGUAUAUGGGCUGACGCCUGCCCGGUGCUGGAAGGUUAAGAGGAGAGGUUAGCGCAAGCGAAGCUUUGAAUUUAAGCCCCAGUAAACGGCGGCCGUAACUAUAACGGUCCUAAGGUAGCGAAAUUCCUUGUCGGGUAAGUUCCGACCCGCACGAAAGGCGUAAUGAUUUGAGCGCUGUCUCGACAAUGCAUCCGGUGAAAUUGAAGUACCAGUGAAGAUGCUGGUUACCUGCGCCAGGACGGAAAGACCCCAUGGAGCUUUACUCCAGUCUGGUACUGGGACUCGGUAUUGCAUGUACAGGAUAGGUGGGAGGCUAGGAAAUGGUAACGCCAGUUGCCAUGGAGCCGCUGUUGGGAUACCACCCUUGCAGUAUUGGGUUUCUAACCAGCCGCCGUGACCCGGCGGUGGGACAAUGCCAGACGGGGAGUUUGACUGGGGCGGUCGCCUCCGAAAGGGUAUCGGAGGCGCCCAAAGGUUCCCUCAGAAUGGACGGAAACCAUUCGAAGAGUGCAAAGGCAGAAGGGAGCUUGACUGCGACACCGACGGGUGGAGCAGGUACGAAAGUAGGACUUAGUGAUCCGGUGGUAUAAAGUGGGAUUGCCAUCGCUCAACGGAUAAAAGCUACCCUGGGGAUAACAGGCUUAUCACUCCCAAGAGUUCACAUCGACGGAGUGGUUUGGCACCUCGAUGUCGGCUCAUCGCAUCCUGGGGCUGUAGUAGGUCCCAAGGGUUGGGCUGUUCGCCCAUUAAAGCGGUACGCGAGCUGGGUUCAGAACGUCGUGAGACAGUUCGGUCCCUAU
Molecule: ribosomal RNA, 1680 nt
Filed under: human gut metagenome
Description: bacterial LSU rRNA
Rfam family: Bacterial large subunit ribosomal RNA
Source: RNAcentral